CUACGGGAGGCUGCAGCUAGGAAUCUUGGGAAUGGGCGAAAGCCUGACCCAGCAACGCCGCGUGGGCGAUGAAGGCCUUAGGGUCGUAAAGCCCUUUUGCAGGGGAAGAUGAUGACGGUACCUUGCGAAUAAGCCACGGCUAACUACGUGCCAGCAGCCGCGGUAAUACGUAGGUGGCAAGCGUUGUCCGGAUUUACUGGGCGUAAAGGGCGUGCAGGCGGUUCGUUAAGUCCAGGGUGAAAGCUCCCGGCUCAACUGGGAGAGGUCCUUGGAUACUGGCGGACUUGAGGGGGGUAGAGGAGAGCGGAAUUCUCGGUGUAGUGGUGAUAUGCGUAGAUAUCGAGAGGAACACCAGUGGCGAAGGCGGCUCUCUGGGCCCUACCUGACGCUGAGACGCGAAAGCGUGGGGAGCGAACCGGAUUAGAUACCCCAGUAGUC
RNAcentral lists this ribosomal RNA (438 nucleotides) under uncultured bacterium. Its description in RNAcentral is "partial 16S ribosomal RNA". It matches the Rfam family "Bacterial small subunit ribosomal RNA", at positions 339 to 795 of the family's 1533-position model. The record is from RNAcentral.